CGUCGGUCAACUACUCCGGCUCCAAUGGGACCCGAGUCGGAAACGAGAAGCAGCCCUUCUCGGAAAACUGGCUCCACCCUGCGGCGUGGACGGGGUUCCCUCUCAGCGCGCGCUGCUCACCGUCAAGGUCAAAACUCCGGGGUCAGACAGUGACCCCACCGGCCAGAAGGAUGAGUGGUUCGUGUGAGAGGCAGUGCCCCCGCAGGGGGGCGUGGCCUGCUGACCCCAGCGGACACGCCCACGCGGCGAGGAGGUGGGGAGUGGCUGGCUGGUUCGGUCUGUCGUUCAUCUGAUCGGCCCAGCGGUCAUCGCCAGCGUCAUCGGGGAGCGACAGACUCCCGACGGCGCUCCAACUCACCGGAGGCUGGGGAGACAGCCGAGCCGGCGCUCCAGGCUGGCGGAGGCUGAAGACGUCCGUGUCGGGAAUGUAGUUCAUCUGCGGCCGAGACACCUGUGUCGGGGCUGUAGUUCAUCUGCAGCCGAGACGCCCGUGUCGGGACUGUAGUUCAUCUGCGGCCGAGACACCUGUGUCGGGACUGUAGUUCAUCUGCGGCCGAGAUGCCCGUGUCAGAACACUGGGCCGUCUGAUACUGAGGGCCUGGUGCUCGCACCGCUGUCAACUGAGGGACUUAUCGGAACUCCGGAGCAACUAAGGCCGGUGAAGCGCCCGUGGUCCGACUCUAGGCCACCCUAGGCUGGGGAGACGGCAGUGACGGGUCUCCAGACUGUCUCAGACAAAGGGGCACCAGUGCGCGGUAGGGAUUCAGUGACCGGAGACAGUGUACGCAUCCUGGGCCGGGGCCCUGGAUCAUCUGCGACCGCGGAGAGGCCUCUCAGCCGUGCCGAGGAGUGUCAGGCCCCGUGCCGUCGGGUGGCGGGACGACAGCCGAGCCGUGACAUUAGGUCAGUCAGGGCCGAGGCGACACCCGCGCCGUGCGGGGCGUUUGGGUGCCCCGAGUCGGGGCAGCUGGUCCCGCUGGCCAAGCUGGACAGGCCCAGUGACGGACACCGCUGCGGUCGACUGAGCAGCUUUCCAUGGCAACCCUCCGAAACCCGGGACAAACACCACCGGGGCCGGACGCCCAAUGUGCCCUCUCCAGCCCGCUGGUCAUGUCCGCCUGCAGCGCAAGGCUUCACCAAAGCAGACCUUUAGCGUGCAGACGUCCGGCGUCGCGCGCUCGACGCAGCGCCCAGCUCCUGCCACCUGUGCGGCCGGGGGGCCUUGUCGACAAGUCCGGAACGGCAGGCGGGCGACACAAACACACCGGUCAGACGAGACCGACGGGCGCCGCUGACACGCGCGCGGCCGGCGUACCCCUGUGUGCGCACUUGCGUGCCUAUGUGAGCGUAGAAGUGCGUGCUGUACGCGUGGGUGUGUGGCGCUGGACUUGUGAACCCGCGAGACACGAGCCCGCGCGUGCCAGUGAAUGCUUACGUAGGCUGAACUCAUCUCGUGUGUGUGCGUGCAUGUGCGUGUCGUCCGGAUGAGCGCGCCCCCGCAGGUGUGCGCCCCGGCAUGUGCGUCACUUCCCUGUGCCUGGAGGUUAGGGUUGUGUGUCAUCCCGCGUCCCCCGCGCGCAUCGGUUAGGUAGAUCAUGGCUUUAAUAGCGGUCCCGGGCGUCGCCCCGCGCGCAGGCGGGCUGUCUCGGCGCCGGACUCGCCGUAGUCUCGCCGUAGUAGCAUCGCGCCGCUGCCGUGGUUCCCGCCGCCUCUCGGCAUCUCAUGUCACGGUAUCAUGUGAUAUCUCCGUUUGACUGCUAGCAAACGCGCCUGUUCCGUUCCGGAAGUGGAGCUCGUUUUUGUUCAUUUCGGCCCAAAGUUUCGCGCGACACCAAAAAGCGCGGCUCCGCCCCGGCGCGCGCCGCUUGAUCUGCAUGUUCGCCGCGACGCGCUCUCAUAUCAGGCUAAAACAUAUCCCGGCAUACGUAUCAACGCACGACCAGCGUCCACAAGUUACAUAUGCGAAGCGACUUUUCGAAGCGUUUACGGCGUUUUGGUGUAUUCGUAAUGACACCCGCGUUGUGGAAGUGCACCAUCGGGCGAGUGAACGGGCGCUGUUUUCGACCAUCACUUUGAGGCUGCGUGACAGAAUAGCCUGUAUCCGGAGUAGUGCAUGUGCGCGGACGGUUCAGAAGGCACGCAGAACGGUUGCUAAGGCGACCUGGGCGCGUUAGCCAGCGACGCAUCUGGUUGCCAUGGUCACUGAAAGCAGCCCGAGUGGCAGCCCGACAGUCUUGCCUGCCUCGGCGCGUAGUGAGUUACAUUUCUGUGUUGAGUUUUUGUAAAUUUGUAUCGAGUCGUUCUUGUAUGUAGCGCACGGAUCUUCGCUGUUUGUACAUAACGUCACCGGUAACAUAACAAGCAAAUACACCGCAACAACAUUCCCA
Molecule: long non-coding RNA, 2387 nt
Filed under: Pollicipes pollicipes
Lineage: Eukaryota; Metazoa; Arthropoda; Thecostraca; Pollicipedomorpha; Pollicipedidae
Description: uncharacterized LOC119105896
Source: RNAcentral